Molecule: ribosomal RNA, 251 nt
Filed under: uncultured prokaryote
Description: partial 16S ribosomal RNA
Rfam family: Bacterial small subunit ribosomal RNA
Source: RNAcentral
UCGAGAAUAGUCUACAAUGGACGAAAGUCUGAUAGUGCAAUUCCGCGUGGAUGAAGAAGCAUUUCGGUGUGUAAAAUCCUUUUCUCUAUGAGCAAAGUCUUGAAGGUGAAUAAUUUUUAGGAUAAGAUAUUAGUAGAGGAAUAAGCCUCGGCUAACUCCGUGCCAGCAGCCGCGGUAAUACGGGGGAGGCAAGCGUUGUCCGGAAUCACUAGGCGUAUAGGGCAAGUAGGCGGAUCAGUAAGUUACGGGGG